This 441-nucleotide ribosomal RNA is filed under the name uncultured bacterium. Its description in RNAcentral is "partial 16S ribosomal RNA". It matches the Rfam family "Bacterial small subunit ribosomal RNA", at positions 338 to 795 of the family's 1533-position model. The record is from RNAcentral.
CCUACGGGAGGCAGCAGUGGGGGAUAUUGCACAAUGGGGGGAACCCUGAUGCAGCGACGCCGCGUGGGUGAAGGAGUGCUUCGGCAUGUAAAGCCCUAUCGGCAGGGAAGAAGCAAGACGGUACCUGACUAAGAAGCCUCGGCUAACUACGUGCCAGCCGCCGCGGUAAUACGUAGGGGGCGAGCGUUAUCCGGAUGUACGGGGUGUAAAGGGAGCGUAGACGGCCAAGCAAGCCAGGGGUGAAAGCCCCGGGCCCAACCCCGGGACUGCCCUUGGAACUGCAUGGCUGGAGUCCGGGAGGGGCAGGCGGAAUUCCUGGUGUAGCGGUGAAAUGCGUAGAUAUCAGGAGGAACACCGGCGGCGAAGGCGGCCUGCUGGACCGCGACUGACGUUGAGGCUCGAAAGCGUGGGGAGCGAACAGGAUUAGAUACCCGGGUAGUC